This is a long non-coding RNA of Gasterosteus aculeatus aculeatus (three-spined stickleback), 533 nucleotides long. The record is from Ensembl. Lineage: Eukaryota; Metazoa; Chordata; Actinopteri; Perciformes; Gasterosteidae.
UUUUAGACUUUUUUAAAAUCAUUUGUGCUGCGUAUGAUUUGGCUGUUUCCUCUAGCAAUGAAACAGUUGUUUAUCUCCAUAUAGUAUGCUCACUUUUUGGCUGGUAAAUGUUAAAGCAAGGGUCCUGAAGUAAUCAUGUAUUAAACCCCCACAUCAUGGGUAAUCGUAAUAGUGAGAGAAACAGGAGCGUGAGUGUUGAUGAUGAUGGAAUCUAUAACCUGAAAACAUACCAUGAAAGGGUUGAAAUUCUCAGAAAAAUACGGAUACCCAGACUGGACAAUUUUGAACGCUCGACAGGAUGCUAGCUGACGAUGAACAAGACUAGACGCUUUGAGGAACUCCCUCUGCCAGACGAGCUCCCCGGCAACGGGUUUUGGGCUGGAACAGGCCCAGGACCCGGGACCAAAGGCUGAUGAAGUUUAAUCGAGGCCAGCUGCUACUAAACACAGAUUCAACAGAUGGUGUGUGGGUGCAAAGCCGCCGCUGGAUGCAAUCAGCAGUUACAUGGACGUGUAACUGCAUGUGAUACUGAG